GACGAACGCUGGCGGCGUGCCUAAUACAUGCCAGUAGAACGCACAGUUUAUACCGUAGCUUGCUACACCAUAGACUGUGAGUUGCGAACGGGUGAGUAACGCGUAGGUAACCUGCCUGGUAGCGGGGGAUAACUAUUGGAAACGAUAGCUAAUACCGCAUAAUAUUGAUUAUUGCAUGAUAAUUGAUUGAAAGAUGCUAUUGCAUCACUACCAGAUGGACCUGCGUUGUAUUAGCUAGUAGGUGAGGUAACGGCUCACCUAGGCGACGAUACAGAGCCGACCUGAGAGGGUGGUCGGCCACACUGGGACUGAGACCAGGCCCAGGCUCCUACGGGGGGCAGCAGUAGGGAAUCUUCGGCAAUGGACGAAAGGCUGACCGAGCAACGCCGCGUGAGUGAAGAAGGUUUUCGGAUCGUAAAGCUCUGUUGUAAGAGAAGAACGGGUGUGAGAGUGGAAAGUUCACACUGUGACGGUAUCUUACCAGAAAGGGACGGCUAACUACGUG
This 505-nucleotide ribosomal RNA is filed under the name uncultured bacterium. RNAcentral describes it as "partial 16S ribosomal RNA". It matches the Rfam family "Bacterial small subunit ribosomal RNA", at positions 28 to 507 of the family's 1533-position model. The record is from RNAcentral.